UCAGAGAAAAGAUACAUCUUAUCAUUAAUUCCCAAAAUUAAUAUUUUUAUUAAACUAUUCUCUG
Molecule: transfer RNA, 64 nt
Filed under: Dermestes maculatus (common hide beetle)
Lineage: Eukaryota; Metazoa; Arthropoda; Insecta; Coleoptera; Dermestidae
Description: tRNA-Pro
Source: RNAcentral